AAUCAACGCUGGCGGCGUGCCUAACACAUGCAAGUCGAACGANAAAGGGGACUUCGGUCCCUGAGUACAGUGGCGCACGGGUGAGUAACACGUGACUUAUCUACCCUCGAGUGGGGAAUAACUUCGGGAAACCGAGGCUAAUACCGCAUAAUACCCACGGGUCAAAGGAGCAAUUCGCUUGAGGAGGAGGUCGCGGCCCGAUUAGUUAGUUGGCGGGGUAAUGGCCCCCACCAAGACGGUGAUCGGUAUCCGGCCUGAGAGGGCGCACGGACACACUGGAACUGAAACACGGUCCAGACUCCUACGGGAGGCAGCAGUGGGGAAUUUUGCGCAAUGGGGGAAACCCUGACGCAGCAACGCCGCGUGGAGGAUGAAGUCUCUUGGGACGUAAACUCCUUUCGAUCGGGACGAUUAUGACGGUACCGGAAGAAGAAGCCCCGGCUAACUUCGUG
This 452-nucleotide ribosomal RNA is filed under the name uncultured bacterium. RNAcentral's name for it is "bacterial SSU rRNA". It matches the Rfam family "Bacterial small subunit ribosomal RNA", at positions 32 to 507 of the family's 1533-position model. The record is from RNAcentral.